AGGAAUCUGCCUAUUAGUGGGGGACAACAUCUCGAAAGGGAUGCUAAUACCGCAUACGUCCUACGGGAGAAAGCAGGGGACCUUCGGGCCUUGCGCUAAUAGAUGAGCCUAAGUCGGAUUAGCUAGUUGGUGGGGUAAAGGCCUACCAAGGCGACGAUCUGUAGCGGGUCUGAGAGGAUGAUCCGCCACACUGGGACUGAGACACGGCCCAGGCUCCUACGGGAGGCAGCAGUGGGGAAUAUUGGACAAUGGGGGGAACCCUGAUCCAGCCAUGCCGCGUGUGUGAAGAAGGCCUUUUGGUUGUAAAGCACUUUAAGCGAGGAGGAGGCUAUCGAGAUUAAUACUCUUGGAUAGUGGACGUUACUCGCAGAAUAAGCACCGGCUAACUCUGUGCCAGCAGCCGCGGUAAUACAGAGGGUGCAAGCGUUAAUCGGAUUUACUGGGCGUAAAGCGCGCGUAGGUGGCCAAUUAAGUCAAAUGUGAAAUCCCCGAGCUUAACUUGGGAAUUGCAUUCGAUACUGGUUGGCUAGAGUAUGGGAGAGGAUGGUAGAAUUCCAGGU
Molecule: ribosomal RNA, 560 nt
Filed under: uncultured bacterium
Lineage: Bacteria
Description: bacterial SSU rRNA
Rfam family: Bacterial small subunit ribosomal RNA
Source: RNAcentral